This 715-nucleotide ribosomal RNA is filed under the name uncultured Burkholderia sp. Its description in RNAcentral is "bacterial SSU rRNA". It matches the Rfam family "Bacterial small subunit ribosomal RNA", at positions 60 to 770 of the family's 1533-position model. The record is from RNAcentral. Lineage: Bacteria; Pseudomonadati; Pseudomonadota; Betaproteobacteria; Burkholderiales; Burkholderiaceae.
AGUCGAACGGCAGCGCGGGAGCAAUCCUGGCGGCGAGUGGCGAACGGGUGAGUAAUACAUCGGAACGUGUCCUGUAGUGGGGGAUAGCCCGGCGAAAGCCGGAUUAAUACCGCAUACGCUCUACGGAGGAAAGGGGGGGAUCUUAGGACCUCUCGCUACAGGGGCGGCCGAUGGCAGAUUAGCUAGUUGGUGGGGUAAAGGCCUACCAAGGCGACGAUCUGUAGCUGGUCUGAGAGGACGACCAGCCACACUGGGACUGAGACACGGCCCAGACUCCUACGGGAGGCAGCAGUGGGGAAUUUUGGACAAUGGGCGCAAGCCUGAUCCAGCAAUGCCGCGUGUGUGAAGAAGGCCUUCGGGUUGUAAAGCACUUUUGUCCGGAAAGAAAACCUCUGGGUUAAUACCCCGGGGGGAUGACGGUACCGGAAGAAUAAGCACCGGCUAACUACGUGCCAGCAGCCGCGGUAAUACGUAGGGUGCAAGCGUUAAUCGGAAUUACUGGGCGUAAAGCGUGCGCAGGCGGUUUGCUAAGACAGAUGUGAAAUCCCCGGGCUUAACCUGGGAACUGCAUUUGUGACUGGCAGGCUAGAGUAUGGCAGAGGGGGGUAGAAUUCCACGUGUAGCAGUGAAAUGCGUAGAGAUGUGGAGGAAUACCGAUGGCGAAGGCAGCCCCCUGGGCCAAUACUGACGCUCAUGCACGAAAGCGUGGGGAGCA